GAUUGUGUUGGACCUGAAGGGAAGUGUGUGGGUAGCAUGGCCCAGUACAUACCACGCCUCCCACAGGCCCAGCUUAUUGCCCAGGCCAUUGG
Molecule: microRNA precursor, 92 nt
Filed under: Dipodomys ordii (Ord's kangaroo rat)
Lineage: Eukaryota; Metazoa; Chordata; Mammalia; Rodentia; Heteromyidae
Description: miRNA (ENSDORG00000028884.1)
Source: RNAcentral